UCUCACGACACGAGCUGACGACAGCCAUGCACCACCUGUCUCUGCGCUCCCGAAGGCACCCCCCGAUUUCUCAGGGGUUCGCAGGAUGUCAAACCCUGGUAAGGUUCUUCGCGUUGCAUCGAAUUAAACCACAUACUCCACCGCUUGUGCGGGCCCCCGUCAAUUCCUUUGAGUUUCACACUUGCGUGCGUACUCCCCAGGCGGAACACUUAACGCGUUGGCUACGACACCGAGGGGGUCGAUUCCCCCGACACCUAGUGUUCAUCGUUUACGGCCAGGACUACAGGGGUAUCUAAUCCCUUUCGCUCCCCUGGCUUUCGUCCAUGAGCGUCAGUUAUGGCCCAGCAGAGCGCCUUCGCCACUGGUGUUCUUCCCGAUAUCUACGCAUUUCACCGCUACACCGGGAAUUCCCUCUGCCCCUACCACACUCAAGCCUUGUAGUUUCCAUCGCCGAAAUGGAGUUAAGCUCCACGCUUUAACGACAGACUUACAAGGCCGCCUGCGGACGCUUUACGCCCAAUAAUUCCGGAUAACGCUUGCCACUCCCGUAUUACCGCGGCUGCUGGCACGGAAUUAGCUGUGGCUUAUUCCUCAAGUACCGUCAGGUCUUCUUCCUUGAGAAAAGAGGUUUACAGCCCAGAGGCCUUCAUCCCUCACGCGGCGUUGCUCCGUCAGGCUUUCGCCCAUUGCGGAAAAUUCCCCA
Molecule: ribosomal RNA, 703 nt
Filed under: uncultured cyanobacterium
Lineage: Bacteria; Bacillati; Cyanobacteriota
Description: partial 16S ribosomal RNA
Source: RNAcentral